UGGGGAAUUUUGGACAAUGGGCGAAAGCCUGAUUCAGCAAUGCCGCGUGUGUGAAGAAGGCCUUCGGGUUGUAAAGCACUUUUGUCCGGAAAGAAAUCCUUGGCUCUAAUACAGUCGGGGGAUGACGGUACCGGAAGAAUAAGCACCGGCUAACUACGUGCCAGCAGCCGCGGUAAUACGUAGGGUGCAAGCGUUAAUCGGAAUUACUGGGCGUAAAGCGUGCGCAGGCGGUUUGCUAAGACCGAUGUGAAAUCCCCGGGCUCAACCUGGGAACUGCAUUGGUGACUGGCAGGCUAGAGUAUGGCAGAGGGGGGUAGAAUUCCACGUGUAGCAGUGAAAUGCGUAGAGAUGUGGAGGAAUACCGAUGGCGAAGGCAGCCCCCUGGGCCAAUACUGACGCUCAUGCACGAAAGCGUGGGGAGCAAACAGGAUUAGAUACCCUGGUAGUCCACGCCCUAAACGAUGUCAACUAGUUGUUGGGGAUUCAUUUCCUUAGUAACGUAGCUAACGCGUGAAGUUGACCGCCUGGGGAGUACGGUCGCAAGAUUAAAACUUAAAUGAAUUGACGGGGUCAUAGCUGUUUCCU
Molecule: ribosomal RNA, 585 nt
Filed under: uncultured bacterium
Lineage: Bacteria
Description: partial 16S ribosomal RNA
Rfam family: Bacterial small subunit ribosomal RNA
Source: RNAcentral